Molecule: ribosomal RNA, 253 nt
Filed under: uncultured bacterium
Lineage: Bacteria
Description: partial 16S ribosomal RNA
Rfam family: Bacterial small subunit ribosomal RNA
Source: RNAcentral
UACAGAGGGUGCGAGCGUUGUUCGGAAUUAUUGGGCGUAAAGGGCGCGUAGGCGGUGCCGCAAGUCACUUGUGAAAUCCCCGGGCUUAACUCGGGGCCUGCAGGCGAAACUGUGGUGCUGGAGUAUGGGAGAGGUGCGUGGAAUUCCCGGUGUAGCGGUGAAGUGCGUAGAUAUCGGGAGGAACACCUGUGGCGAAAGCGGCGCACUGGACCAUAACUGACGCUGAGGCGCGAAAGCUAGGGGAGCAAACAGG